UGCAGUCGAGCGGUAGAGAGAAGCUUGCUUCUCUUGAGAGCGGCGGACGGGUGAGUAACGCGUAGGAAUCUACCUGGUAGUGGGGGACAACAUUCGGAAACGGAUGCUAAUACCGCAUACGCCCUACGGGGGAAAGGAGGGGAUCUUCGGACCUUUCGCUAUCAGAUGAGCCUGCGUAGGAUUAGCUAGUUGGUGGGGUAAAGGCCCACCAAGGCGACGAUCCUUAGCUGGUCUGAGAGGAUGACCAGCCACACUGGGACUGAGACACGGCCCAGACUCCUACGGGAGGCAGCAGUGGGGAAUAUUGGACAAUGGGGGCAACCCUGAUCCAGCCAUGCCGCGUGUGUGAAGAAGGCCUUCGGGUUGUAAAGCACUUUCAGUGGUGAGGAAAGGGUAACCGCUAAUACCGGUUAUCUGUGACGUUAGCCACAGAAGAAGCACCGGCUAAUUCCGUGCCAGCAGCCGCGGUAAUACGGAAGGUGCGAGCGUUAAUCGGAAUAACUGGGCGUAAAGCGCGCGUAGGUGGUUGAGUCAGUCAGAUGUGAAAGCCCCGGGCUUAACCUGGGAACUGCACCUGAUACUGCUUAACUAGAGUACGGUAGAGGGCAGUGGAAUUUCCUGUGUAGCGGUGAAAUGCGUAGAUAUAGGAAGGAACACCAGUGGCGAAGGCGACUGCCUGGACUGAUACUGACACUGAGGUGCGAAAGCGUGGGUAGCAAACAGGAUUAGAUACCCUGGUAGUCCACGCCGUAAACGAUGUCGACUAGCCGUUGGGAGACUUGUUCUCUUAGUGGCGCAGCUAACGCACUAAGUCGACCGCCUGGGGAGUACGGCCGCAAGGUUAAAACUCAAAUGAAUUGACGGGGGCCCGCACAAGCGGUGGAGCAUGUGGUUUAAUUCGACGCAACGCGAAGAACCUUACCUACUC
RNAcentral lists this ribosomal RNA (928 nucleotides) under Marinobacterium rhizophilum. RNAcentral describes it as "bacterial SSU rRNA". It matches the Rfam family "Bacterial small subunit ribosomal RNA", at positions 56 to 980 of the family's 1533-position model. The record is from RNAcentral. Lineage: Bacteria; Pseudomonadati; Pseudomonadota; Gammaproteobacteria; Oceanospirillales; Oceanospirillaceae.